Molecule: ribosomal RNA, 437 nt
Filed under: uncultured Oscillospiraceae bacterium
Lineage: Bacteria; Bacillati; Bacillota; Clostridia; Eubacteriales; Oscillospiraceae
Description: partial 16S ribosomal RNA
Rfam family: Bacterial small subunit ribosomal RNA
Source: RNAcentral
ACGGGAGGCAGCAGUGGGGGAUAUCGCGCAAUGGGCGAAAGCCUGACCCAGCAACGCCGCGUGAAGGAAGAAGGUCUUCGGAUUGUAAACUUCUUUUAUGUGGGACGAAGAAAGUGACGGUACCACAUGAAUAAGCCACGGCUAACUACGUGCCAGCAGCCGCGGUAAUACGUAGGUGGCAAGCGUUAUCCGGAUUUACUGGGUGUAAAGGGCGCGUAGGCGGGAUGGCAAGUCAGAUGUGAAAUCUAUGGGCUCAACCCAUAAACUGCAUUUGAAACUGUCAUUCUUGAGUGCUGGAGAGGUAGAUGGAAUUCCUUGUGUAGCGGUGAAAUGCGUAGAUAUAAGGAAGAACACCAGUGGCGAAGGCGAUCUACUGGACAGUAACUGACGCUGAGGCGCGAAAGCGUGGGGAGCAAACAGGAUUAGAUACCCUGGUA